This 72-nucleotide transfer RNA is filed under the name Hordeum vulgare. RNAcentral's name for it is "tRNA-Pro". It matches the Rfam family "tRNA". Rfam says of the family: Transfer RNA (tRNA) molecules are approximately 80 nucleotides in length. Their secondary structure includes four short double-helical elements and three loops (D, anti-codon, and T loops). Further hydrogen bonds mediate the characteristic L-shaped molecular structure. tRNAs have two regions of fundamental functional importance: the anti-codon, which is responsible for specific mRNA codon recognition, and the 3' end, to which the tRNAs corresponding amino acid is attached (by aminoacyl-tRNA synthetases). tRNAs cope with the degeneracy of the genetic code in two manners: having more than one tRNA (with a specific anti-codon) for a particular amino acid; and 'wobble' base-pairing, i.e. permitting non-standard base-pairing at the 3rd anti-codon position. The record is from RNAcentral. Lineage: Eukaryota; Viridiplantae; Streptophyta; Magnoliopsida; Poales; Poaceae.
GGGCAUUUCGUCUAGUGGUAUGAUUCUCGCUUUGGGUGUGAGAGGUCCCAAUUUCAAUUCUCGGAAUGCCCC